This 87-nucleotide transfer RNA is filed under the name Patescibacteria group bacterium. RNAcentral describes it as "tRNA-Ser". It matches the Rfam family "tRNA". Rfam says of the family: Transfer RNA (tRNA) molecules are approximately 80 nucleotides in length. Their secondary structure includes four short double-helical elements and three loops (D, anti-codon, and T loops). Further hydrogen bonds mediate the characteristic L-shaped molecular structure. tRNAs have two regions of fundamental functional importance: the anti-codon, which is responsible for specific mRNA codon recognition, and the 3' end, to which the tRNAs corresponding amino acid is attached (by aminoacyl-tRNA synthetases). tRNAs cope with the degeneracy of the genetic code in two manners: having more than one tRNA (with a specific anti-codon) for a particular amino acid; and 'wobble' base-pairing, i.e. permitting non-standard base-pairing at the 3rd anti-codon position. RNAcentral also lists the same sequence under 1 other name. The record is from RNAcentral.
GGAGAGGUUCCAGAGCGGCCGAAUGGGACGGUCUUGAAAACCGUUGAGCCUUCACAGGCUCCCAGGGUUCGAAUCCCUGCCUCUCCG